GACGAACGCUGGCGGCGUGCUUAACACAUGCAAGUCGAACGGAGUGGCGAACGGGUGAGUAACACGUGGGUGACCUGCCCUGCACUUCGGGAUAAGCCUGGGAAACUGGGUCUAAUACCGGAUAGUGUGGGAUGGGCCCGCGGCCUAUCAGCUUGUUGGUGGGGUACUGGCCUACCAAGGCGGCGACGGGUAGCCGGCCUGGGAGGGGGGACGGCCACAUUGGGACUUAGGCACGGCCCAGAGUGCUACGGGGGGCAGCGGUGGCGAAUAUUGAGCAAUGGGCGGAAUCCUGAUGCCGCGACGCCGCGUGGGUGAUGACGGUCUUCGUGUUGUAAAAUCCUUUCACCAUCGACGCGGUAGAUGGAGAAGAAGCACCGGCUAACUACGUGCCAGCAGCCGCGGUAAUUC
Molecule: ribosomal RNA, 408 nt
Filed under: uncultured bacterium
Lineage: Bacteria
Description: partial 16S ribosomal RNA
Rfam family: Bacterial small subunit ribosomal RNA
Source: RNAcentral